UACGUAGGGGGCUAGCGUUGUCCGGAAUCAUUGGGCGUAAAGAGCGCGUAGGCGGCUGGAUUAGUCCGGUGUGAAAUCCACAGGCUUAACCUGUGAAUGCCGCUGGAAACUGUCUGGCUAGAGUCCGGAAGGGGCGAGUGGAAUUCCUGGUGUAGCGGCGAAAUGCGCAGAUAUCAGGAGGAACACCGAUGGCGAAGGCAGCUCGCUGGGACGGUACUGACGCUGAGGCGCGAAAGCUAGGGGAGCGAACAGG
Molecule: ribosomal RNA, 253 nt
Filed under: uncultured bacterium
Lineage: Bacteria
Description: partial 16S ribosomal RNA
Rfam family: Bacterial small subunit ribosomal RNA
Source: RNAcentral